GGGCGCAUGUCUCAGUUGGUAAAGCGUUCCCUUGCAAAGAGAACGUUACCGGUUCCACUUCGGUUGUGUCCA
RNAcentral lists this transfer RNA (72 nucleotides) under Zygosaccharomyces bailii CLIB 213. Its description in RNAcentral is "tRNA-Cys (GCA) (tRNA-Cys-GCA-3-1)". It matches the Rfam family "tRNA". From Rfam's summary of the family: Transfer RNA (tRNA) molecules are approximately 80 nucleotides in length. Their secondary structure includes four short double-helical elements and three loops (D, anti-codon, and T loops). Lineage: Eukaryota; Fungi; Ascomycota; Saccharomycetes; Saccharomycetales; Saccharomycetaceae. The record is from RNAcentral.